GCUGUGUUGGUGUAGCGGUUAGCAUAAGGCCCUGUCACGGCCUUGACCCGGGUUCGAAUCCCGGACACGGCG
Molecule: transfer RNA, 72 nt
Filed under: Nanobdellota archaeon
Lineage: Archaea; Nanobdellati; Nanobdellota
Description: tRNA-Asp
Rfam family: tRNA
About the family: Transfer RNA (tRNA) molecules are approximately 80 nucleotides in length. Their secondary structure includes four short double-helical elements and three loops (D, anti-codon, and T loops).
Source: RNAcentral